CACCGCGGUUAAACGGGAGACCCAAGUUGAUAUAUAACGGCGUAAAGCGUGGUUAAGACACUAACUUAAUAGGGUCAAAUAGCUUCUAAGUAGUCAAAUACUAUCGAAACCACAAAGCACACCCACGAAAGUAACCCUAAUACCUCUGACCCCACGAAAGCCAUAACA
RNAcentral lists this ribosomal RNA (168 nucleotides) under Coelorinchus scaphopsis (shoulderspot grenadier). RNAcentral's name for it is "partial small subunit ribosomal RNA". The record is from RNAcentral. Lineage: Eukaryota; Metazoa; Chordata; Actinopteri; Gadiformes; Macrouridae.